Non-coding RNA from Rattus norvegicus (Norway rat), 80 nucleotides. Lineage: Eukaryota; Metazoa; Chordata; Mammalia; Rodentia; Muridae. The record is from Rfam.
GGGGAUUUAGCUCAGUGGUAGAGCGCUUGCCUAGCAAGAUCAAGACCCUAGCAAAGCCCUGGGUUCGGUCCCCAGCUCCG